CCUACGGGGGGCAGCAGUGGGGAAUAUUGCACAAUGGGGGAAACCCUGAUGCAGCGACGCCGCGUGAGUGAAGAAGUAUUUCGGUAUGUAAAGCUCUAUCAGCAGGGAAGAAGAAAGAUGGUACCUGACUAAGAAGCCCCGGCUAACUACGUGCCAGCAGCCGCGGUAAUCCGUAGGGGGCAAGCGUUAUCCGGAUUUACUGGGUGUAAAGGGAGCGUAGACGGCUGUGCAAGUCUGAAGUGAAAGCCCAGGGUUCAACCCUGGGACUGCUUUGGAAACUGUGGAGCUAGAGUGCUGGAGAGGUAAGUGGAAUGCCUAGUGUAGCGGUGAAAUGCGUAGAUAUUAGGAGGAACACCAGUGGCGAAGGCGGCUUACUGGACAGUAACUGACGUUGAGGCUCGAAAGCGUGGGGAGCAAACAGGAUUAGAUACCCUUGUAGUC
Molecule: ribosomal RNA, 441 nt
Filed under: uncultured bacterium
Lineage: Bacteria
Description: partial 16S ribosomal RNA
Rfam family: Bacterial small subunit ribosomal RNA
Source: RNAcentral